GUGCCUUUCAGGGAGCUCUGUUUAAUUUCAGCAGCGGCAAUCCUGCGCUGAGAGGAGGACGGUAGCAAAAAGGAAGAACCUGGAUAUAAGAAAGUAUUUUUCAAAUAAACCUAGAGUGGUGAGCUGCAGUCUGCUCAGCAAUGAGAACAGAAGAUGUCAGCUGAUACAGAUGAAUGAUCACCAAAGAGAAGAGAGGCCGAAAGCAGGUUAGCACCUCAUACCACAGUACACCAAAAGCAGUCUCAUGAGCGCUGGGAAGGACAAGCCCCGAGCCCAAAACAGACAGUGCAGGAGAUGAGCUGUCCUGUGCCAGAUGUUCUGUUGACCCACAGUGAGAGGCGUCAUUUCAGAAACACCAGGAAGACUGAAAGUCAUCGCCGGGAUCAAGCAGGGCUCGUGAUCUUCACCAGCAGCUCCCUCACAAGAAGGAUAAACCCAGCAUUUCAUGAACACUGAUGGAGACCUUUGCUUUGUGUAAUGUUAGAAGUACUCAGAUAAUCCUCAGAGGGUCCGGACUUUUAUAUAGUAUAAUAGCUUUAAGUCCUGUAGAAAGUUAAAUAUAUGUUGUGCUCUCUAUUAAAAAUAAUUCGGACAGUUUUUUAACCUGAAUAUUUGUAACAAACUCAGUAAAAAAUGCUAAAA
This is a long non-coding RNA of Oreochromis aureus, 642 nucleotides long. RefSeq lists it as uncharacterized. The transcript has 4 exons. Lineage: Eukaryota; Metazoa; Chordata; Actinopteri; Cichliformes; Cichlidae. The record is from RefSeq and is a predicted model, not a curated record.